This 484-nucleotide long non-coding RNA is filed under the name Cricetulus griseus (Chinese hamster). RNAcentral describes it as "lncRNA (ENSCGRG00015037069.1)". The record is from RNAcentral. Lineage: Eukaryota; Metazoa; Chordata; Mammalia; Rodentia; Cricetidae.
AAUGGCCUCUGCUUCAGUUCCUGCCUUGAGUUCUUGCCCUGACUUCUCCUCAUGGAUCUUCUCGGACCUCGGACGUCACGCCAGAUACCUAACAGCCAGGUGCCCUCGAGUAUAAAGGUGAAGAUGACUUUGCUCUCCAGUGCCAGCAUCACAUCCCCCUCAGUGGACAUUGUUCUGCAGGUGCUGUGAUGUGUUGAAGAUAAAAUGCAAAUAAGGGGCCAGGGAGCUGGCUCAGCAUUUAAGACCACUGGCUGCUCUUCCGGAGGACCUGUGUUUGAUUUCCAGCACCUACACCCAUCUGUAACUUCUCGUCCAAGAGAUCAGACAUCUGAAGUCACCAGACAUGCAUGUGGUACACAGAUUGAAUGUAGACAAAACACCUAUGUGUGUGAAAAAAUAAGUGCAAACAAGAGCUGGUAUUUAACAUGGAAUCUAUAUUUGCAUAUGGUCAAAUAACCUGCUAAAUAAAUGACUAAAUGUAGUG